Molecule: ribosomal RNA, 253 nt
Filed under: uncultured bacterium
Lineage: Bacteria
Description: partial 16S ribosomal RNA
Rfam family: Bacterial small subunit ribosomal RNA
Source: RNAcentral
UACGUAGGGUGCAAGCGUUGUCCGGAAUUAUUGGGCGUAAAGAGCUCGUAGGCGGUUUGUCGCGUCUGCUGUGAAAACUCAGGGCUUAACCCUGAGCCUGCAGUGGGUACGGGCAGACUAGAGUGUGGUAGGGGAGAUCGGAAUUCCUGGUGUAGCGGUGGAAUGCGCAGAUAUCAGGAGGAACACCAAUAGCGAAGGCAGCUCGCUGGGACGUUACUGACACUGAGGCGCGAAAGCGUGGGGAGCGAACAGG